AGGUCCUGCCUGCCCAGUGACUAUGUUAAACGGCCGCGGUAUUUUGACCGUGCAAAGGUAGCGCAAUCACUUGUCUUUUAAAUGAAGACCUGUAUGAAUGGUGGAACGAGGGCCUAACUGUCUCCCCUUUCAAGUCAAUGAAAUUGAUCUAUCCGUGCAGAAGCGGGUAUAUAACUACAAGACGAGAAGACCCUUUGGAGCUUAAGAUUAAAGAUCAACUAUGUCAAAUAUUUAUUAAAUAGAACUAAAUAGUAACUGAUCAUGAUCUUCGGUUGGGGCGACCACGGAAUAAAAAUAAACUUCCACAUGGACUGAGGACUAACCUUAAAACCAAGAAAGACAUUUCUAAGCCACAGAAUUUCUGACCACACAGAUCCGGCAAAUUGCCGAUCAAUGGACCAAGUUACCCUAGGGAUAACAGCGCAAUCCCCUUUCAGAGUUCCUAUCGACAAGGGGGUUUACGACCUCGAUGUUGGAUCAGGAC
RNAcentral lists this ribosomal RNA (484 nucleotides) under Scleromystax sp. 'C112'. RNAcentral describes it as "partial 16S ribosomal RNA". It matches the Rfam family "Bacterial large subunit ribosomal RNA", at positions 1850 to 2543 of the family's 2925-position model. Lineage: Eukaryota; Metazoa; Chordata; Actinopteri; Siluriformes; Callichthyidae. RNAcentral also lists the same sequence under 1 other name. The record is from RNAcentral.